Hordeum vulgare subsp. vulgare (domesticated barley) is the source of this 4833-nucleotide RNA transcript. RefSeq lists it as uncharacterized. The record is from RefSeq and is a predicted model, not a curated record. The transcript is spliced from 4 exons. NCBI's taxonomy places the organism in Eukaryota, Viridiplantae, Streptophyta, Magnoliopsida, Poales, Poaceae.
GCCUGCGUGCAUCUGGGAGGCGGACUUGGUCGGGGCAGGUGCUUGUGGCCGAGCUGGGCGUCGACGGGGCAGAGUAUGAAAGCGCAAGGGAGGAAAGGGGGCGAGCAGAGCGCGGGGGCAUGAGCGCGCAGAGGCGGAGAGGGCCGGUCAUGGCGACGUGAACGGUCGGGCCGACAAGUGGCGGCGCGGACGACCGGGACGGCCUCGCCGGGGACGUUUUUGCCUUGGCCCGGCAAAGCAGGGACGCCGUGUGUGGGGUUGUGGCCUUGUGGGCUCGCGAGCACGGUCGCCGUGUCCACUGGCGCCAGAUCCGUAAUGGCCCUUAGGUGCGCGGCCGGCGGCGCCUACCUGACGCGCGAAGAAGCAGAUGCUGCGGCGUCGGCUCUGGGCGAUCCUCACCCGCCACCAAGGGGCACGAGGGCUCAUCUUCCUCCUGUGGGUCCCGUCCUCACAAUACUCCAAGGUUCCAUGGGUGUUGCGCUGCUCUCCUGAUUCCCCUCCUCCGGAGGGUGACCAACAUUUAAAUCGAACUGGGGCGUCGGGGGCGCUGAAGGCCAUGGUAUGCGACAUGUUCAGGCCCCUGGUGCGCAACAUCUCGGAUAUCCGAUCCCUUCGCACUGUCUUUGAUCUCGAGGACUAUCAAGUCGGCAUGAUGUUUGGUGUUUUUCUUGGCUGCGUCGGGUGCUACCAGCUGUGGAAGGCUGCUCCUUCCAUCUUUGUUGAUGCUGCCCUUGCCUAUGCAUUCUAUAAACUUAGCGUUGUGUCCUCAGAGGUGUGCCACCAGGGCAAAUGCAAUGAUUUGUUGACUCGUUUGAAUUUUGGUAAGUGUAUUGCUUUGACAUUGUCUUUAGAACGCAGUGAUAAAGGUUGAUUUAAUUCUCAUGAUAAGUGUACCCGGGUAGCUAACUAGAGCAUUCUAUAGUGCCCACAGGCCUGCCCAUCCUUGUCCGAGGAUUAGCUUCCGUAGGGUGGGUGCUCACCUUCUUUAAAAAUUGUACCAAGGGCUGGUCCUGGUUGGUUUAGUUUUACAUCUUGUGGUAACAUCAAUGAAAAAAUAUAGCCUAGAUGGUCAAUAUUCCCACAUCUAAUCGGGACCACAAGGCUCUUCUCAAGGUUGGUAACUAGCCCGAUGACCUCGCCAAAGACAUCGAGGAUAGAGGUGAGGUGUUGGAUAUCUUCCUUUAUGAGGGCGAAAAAAAUGGUAGCGUCAUCGGCGUCUAGGUAAGUGCCGAGGCAAGCGGUUCACCCACCAAAACUGUGCAGCAGCCUAGAUCGAGUGGCAACGUCGAGAGGGUUCUGAAUUGGAUCGAUUGCUAGGACGAAGAGGAGUGGCGACAAAGGGUCACCUUGAUGAAGACGCCUACCAUGUCGAAUUGGGUCGCCCAGAACGCCAUUAAGCAUAACUCUCGAGGUGGCUGAGCAUAAUAGGGCGACAAUCAUGUCCGUCAUUAAAAUGUUCUCGGUUUUAAAAAUGUUCAUGAAUGAUUGAAUGUAUGCAGUUAAACAGUAAUGCUUCUGAAGGAGGCUAGAUGAGCUCGAGCACGGCGUCGCUGCGCUCGCGGGAGGGUCAGCGCUGCGCUCGCAGGCUGGCUGUAGGGAGAAUAAGCUUGCUGCGGACCAGCGAUCCGGUCUGCUCCUCUUCUCCCGACCGAAUCCCUCUUCCUCCUCCUCCUUUGUCUUUUCUCGAUCUCAAUCUCGACCCCCUCGCCGCGGUGAGCCUCCCUACACAUUCACCCCCGCUUCAGCCGCAUGUCUCCCUCCAGACGACGACGACGACGGUGCUAAAAGGCCCCACAUCCAAAGUGGAAGGCAGAUCCCCUUCCUUUGCAGCCAAGGACGAGUCCCUAGAUUCAGCCGAGGACGAGGCCCUAGAUUUCGUCGCCAAGGUGGAGCUGGCAGUUGAGGUGGAGGAGGAGGAGGUCACGGUGGUGUGGAGGAGAUCUAGGAAUACGUGGAGCCAUCGGUGGAGGCCAAGGUGUAUGUGUGCAACCUUCCCUAUGACGUGAGCAACGAGCCUCACGCAGCUCUUGGAUCAGGCCGGCGUCGUCUAGGUUGCCGAGGUGAGUGUCUCUUCCUCUUAGACCGUCUUGAACGCUGGAUGCUACCCAAAGGUGCUGGGAUUUGUUUCCCAGUCGAUCGGAGUGGAUGCAUAAAGCGCUUGGGUAUUUUACACAGCAGGAACUAGAAUAUUGAAAGUGUUUGCAGUUUGUAAUUAGCGCCCACUGUCCCCACUGCAUUGAAAUUUAAGAAUAUCAUUGGCACAUACAGACCACAGCAAGUCAGAUGUAUACCAAUAAUGUCAAUGAAGACUCAACAUACUUAGCAAGAGGAUAUUAUUUGGUCGAUGCAUACAUACCACAGCAAGUCGAUGACUUUUUUUUGACCCUGAUGCUAUCUUUGAGCAGGACAGUGUAGUCGAGGUUACCGUGCUGAGUAGCUCUUCCUCUUAGACCAGCUUCAGUGUUGGAUGAUAGUUUCAAAGUCGAUAUGUGGCAUCGGUGACAAAAGAUGCAUCAAGUUCGCACAAGGUAAAAUACCGAAGGUGUAUUCAAUCUGUAAUUAGCACCCAUACUUAGCAUCAAGCGGUUAUAGAGUUACUUCAAAAACACCUGCAUGUUCAACUCCAUGAGCUUUCGUGGCUAAGAUGGUUGGAUCUAGGGCAAUACGAGCAUACUGCUGGUCCUAGCUCCUCGGGACAUGGUACACAUAUCCUUUCUUUUCGUAUUCAGAUAAGCAGGACAUCUCCGUAUUGAAUUUUAUAUACAUCGAAUUGUGAAAUUUACCAUUAGUUUUGUGGCAGGUUUAUAUGAAUGCUAUCUGCGAGAAGACAAAUAUCAGGAGCACAUAAAAUCAAUCCAAACACACAUAAAAACACUCCCUGCAAAGUAUCAAUUUUUUUAGAAGUUGGCCACAGUAUUAGUAGUUGAGUAUUCAGAAGGUGGAGUUGAUUUGUCCCUUGGCGUCUGGCCCUCUUUUGGUUAAUAAAUGCAAAUUGACUUUUCUUGAAAAAAUGGGUCUUUCAUUUUUUUCAUUGAGUUAUCUGUGCAUCUUUUAAUUGUUGGGCGAGGAAAGGUUGACCAAGUAGUCUAGCAGAACCAAUUCCAUUUUUAGGGUAAUGGCUUCAGAUUAGAGUGGGAAGGUAUAGAUAUGUUUUCUUUCCACAAGAAGAACAAUGAAUACUAAUACAAUCUUUUCUAGCAUGGUUUGUUCUCAACCAUUUGAGAUUUAUAAUCUCCCUAAAACAGUCACUUCCUUUCUUAUGAAUGCACUUUUAGCUGAUGUUAUUAUCACUGGUCUGCUAUGUUUACAAGGGUGGAUUUACUUUUAGUUUUAAUGGUAUAUGGUGUAAGUUCUGCACCGGUGUGACAUUUACCUUCUUUAUUAGUUUCUUCGUCCUCAUUCUAGAUAUACUAUUGUUGAUGAAAAAUAGUUAGUGCCAUGCAUGUUCCAUCUCAUUUUAUUCACUCCUUGGUUUUUCUGUAACUGCUACUCCAAGUUUCGAUUGCAUCUAUUAGAACGACUGCAACUAUAAGGUUGACGAACUGAAUUUUUUUAUACUGCCUAUUACCCCGUGUUCUAAUUUUUCAAUCUUGACAGGGUAUGGCAAGCUGUUAUGGAAGAUCUGCUAGCUAAAAGAAUGAACAAAGAUGAAAAUGCAUGUAUUCUUAUCAGCACAAUACCUUUUUUCUUAGAAAAGGAGAAUUACCCCUCACCUCUGCAUCAGAGUGAUGCAUGCAUCCUGGCAUGUGACUAAUGAAACGUUAGCACGCUCUAAUUCCUCCCUUUUCAAGGACAUGGCAGGCUCUGAUUUCGGCAUGUUCUGCUGGUGGAUUAACUUCCGUACUGCACUGUGACAGAUUUCGUCAGCUUCUGCAGGUGGAGGCCAAUGUUAAAUGCCUUUCUAAUGUUGGCUUCUUCAUCAAUGUGUAAGACAAUAGUAGCCUAAAGCCAGUCGGGAGAAAAAGGAAAAUCAUGAUAUCUGCUUUUGCCACUUCACAGAUAUACUAGGCCUUGCAAUAUAUGCAAUAUAUAGAAGAAAGUACAUGACCUUUCUGAGUAAUUAGUCCCUUGUCUAACAUUUCGUGUCUCAAUUUGCUCUUACAUGAAGGACAUUGCUGACUAAAACAAGGCAGGCAUGGUAACAACGUUGUGGCCUUAGACCAUGGUUAAACAAGAGACUCAAAAAGGCCGCAACAUGGUUCACUCCAGCAUUUUUCAAUGGUGCGGCCUUUUUCAAUGGUUCACCUCCAUGGUACAUAACAUUUUGGUCCUGGGAGGUUCUGACCGUCGUUGGCGAAGCUGCAAGCACGACACGAACCAGCGUUCCGGGAAGCAACUGAAGACCUUGCAGGGUAGGUGCUACUGCAUUUUACUAAUGGGCCCAUCAGCUAUGGACCUCUUUGUGCGUGUUCGGUCAUGGGUAUACUCACCGACAGAUGGUGGAGACAUAGGAUUCAGGGACCAUUUCCUAGAAGCGCUGCAUGCAUAAGGGGGGCUCAUCCACCAGAGACCUGUUCAUAAAUUAGUGAACACACUCACUACCCUCUCUUGCAUAUGGCCUGGUGUUUGUUUAUCUGACGAGAGCUACUUCUGUUUCACUCUACCCUUAUGACUCCACCUGCCACCUCCCACACGAAGCAAGUGCAGCAAUUUCUAAUGUAAACCCAUCAUAUUACAGAGGCCAUUCAACUUGGAACAUCGAGUAAGAACAAAUACUUUUAUUUAUUCAGCUUAUUGAGAAAGUUAUGGGAAUUGUUUUGUGAAUAAGAAAGUUAUGGGAUUUAUGAACUGGAAAUAUUAAUUGUUUGAAAAAAAUGACCAAAAUUGUUUCAA